This 524-nucleotide ribosomal RNA is filed under the name uncultured bacterium. Its description in RNAcentral is "partial 16S ribosomal RNA". It matches the Rfam family "Bacterial small subunit ribosomal RNA", at positions 28 to 523 of the family's 1533-position model. The record is from RNAcentral.
GACGAACGCUGGCGGCGUGCCUAAUACAUGCAAGUCGAACGCUUCUUUUUCCACCGGAGCUUGCUCCACCGGAAAAAGAGGAGUGGCUAACGGGUGAGGAACACGUGGGUAACCUGCCCAUCAGAAGGGGAUAACACUUGGAAACAGGUGCUAAUACCGUAUCACAAUCAAAACCGCAUGGUUUUGAUUUGAAAGGCGCUUUCGGGUGUCGCUGAAGGGUGGAACCGCGGUGCAUUAGCUAGUUGGUGAGGUAACGGCUCACCAAGGCCACGAUGCAUAGCCGACCUGAGAGGGUGAUCGGACACAUUGGGACUGAGACACGGCCCAAACUCCUACGGGAGGCAGCAGUAGGGAAUCUUCGGCAAUGGACGAAAGUCUGACCGAGCAACGCCGCGUGAGUGAAGAAGGUUUUCGGAUCGUAAAACUCUGUUGUUAGAGAAGAACAAGGAUGAGAGUAACUGUUCAUCCCUUGACGGUAUCUAACCAGAAAGCCACGGCUAACUACGUGCCAGCCGCCGCCGUAA